GACGAACGCUGGCGGCGUGCUUAACACAUGCAAGUCGAACGGAAAGGCCCUGCUUUUGUGGGGUGCUCGAGUGGCGAACGGGUGAGUAACACGUGAGUAACCUGCCCUUGACUUUGGGAUAACUUCAGGAAACUGGGGCUAAUACCGGAUAGGAGCUCCUGCUGCGUGGUGGGGGUUGGAAAGUUUCGGCGGUUGGGGUUGGACUCGCGGCUUAUCAGCUUGUUGGUGGGGUAGUGGCUUACCAAGGCUUUGACGGGUAGCCGGCCUGAGAGGGUGACCGGCCACAUUGGGACUGAGAUACGGCCCAGACUCCUACGGGAGGCAGAAGUGGGGAAUAUUGCACAAUGGGCGGAAGCCUGAUGCAGCAACGCCGCGUGCGGGAUGACGGCCUUCGGGUUGUAAACCGCUUUCGCCUGUGACGAAGCGUGAGUGACGGUAAUGGAUAAAGAAGCACCGGCUAACUACGUG
RNAcentral lists this ribosomal RNA (468 nucleotides) under uncultured bacterium. RNAcentral describes it as "partial 16S ribosomal RNA". It matches the Rfam family "Bacterial small subunit ribosomal RNA", at positions 28 to 507 of the family's 1533-position model. The record is from RNAcentral.